GGUCUCAUGGUGUAACGGUUAGCACUCUGGACUCUGAAUCCAGCGAUCAUGAGUUCAAAUCUCGGUGAGACCU
RNAcentral lists this transfer RNA (73 nucleotides) under Rhipicephalus microplus (southern cattle tick). RNAcentral describes it as "tRNA-Gln". It matches the Rfam family "tRNA". From Rfam's summary of the family: Transfer RNA (tRNA) molecules are approximately 80 nucleotides in length. Their secondary structure includes four short double-helical elements and three loops (D, anti-codon, and T loops). The record is from Rfam by way of RNAcentral. Lineage: Eukaryota; Metazoa; Arthropoda; Arachnida; Ixodida; Ixodidae.